GGUCAAUGGCCUAACGGCUGAACCAGCAACUUGGGGGAAUGGAUAUAUAUAUUAGAUAUAAUAUAUAAUACCGACUCUGUCGGAUAAAGUUCUAGAUAGAAGAAUGAUAAUGACAAUUUUCUAUCUAUAUGUCUUGACCAAAUCUUGUGCCAGCAGUCGCGGCAACACAAGGGAGACUAGUGUUAUUCAUCUUUAUUAGGUUUAAAGGGUACCUAGACGGUAUAUCAAGCCCCAAAAGGGAACGGGUAUACUAGAGUUUUAUGUGAGAGGCAAAUAUAGUACUAUUGGUGUAGAGAUAAAAUUCAUUGAUACCUCUAGGCACGGGUAACGGCGAAGGCAAUCCUCUAUGUAAAAACUGACGUUGAGGGACGAAGGCUUGGGGAGCGAAUAGGAUUAGAUACCCUAGUAGUCCAGGCAGACAAUUAUGAAUGUCAUAGAUUAGAUUAUAAUAGUAAGAAAUAAGAAAGAGAGUAAGAUAAUUACUAAAAAAAAAGGUUAGAUGUCUUCACCUCCCUAUUUUUUUGAUCUAUAAAUGAAAGUGUAAGCAUUCCACCUCAAGAGUAAUGCGGCAACGCAGGAACUGAAAUCAUUAGACCGUUUCUGAAACCAGUAGUGAAGUAUGUUAUUUAAUUCGAUGAUCCUCGAAAAACCUUACCACAAUUUGAAUGUUAAUUAAUAAAUUAACACAGGCGUUGCAUGGCUGUCUUCAGUUAAUGUCGUGAGAUUUGGUUAGAUCCAAAAAAUUAUCGUAAACCCUUGUUCUUUAUUUGUUUGAAUAAUGCAGUUAACCGCUAUAUUGGAUUAUAUAA
Molecule: ribosomal RNA, 809 nt
Filed under: Neofusicoccum umdonicola
Lineage: Eukaryota; Fungi; Ascomycota; Dothideomycetes; Botryosphaeriales; Botryosphaeriaceae
Description: SSU rRNA
Rfam family: Bacterial small subunit ribosomal RNA
Source: RNAcentral